RNAcentral lists this small nucleolar RNA (81 nucleotides) under Schizosaccharomyces octosporus yFS286. RNAcentral's name for it is "small nucleolar RNA R38". It matches the Rfam family "Small nucleolar RNA R38". Rfam says of the family: snoR38 is a C/D box small nucleolar RNA conserved across yeast, human, Arabidopsis and rice. It is encoded in the intron of elongation factor-1 gamma in both pombe and cerevisiae. snoR38 guides the methylation of 2'-O-ribose sites in 28S rRNA. Lineage: Eukaryota; Fungi; Ascomycota; Schizosaccharomycetes; Schizosaccharomycetales; Schizosaccharomycetaceae. The record is from RNAcentral.
GUUUGUAUAUGAUGAGAAUAUCUUUUUUUACAGUUAUCCCUGUCUAAAAAAUAGUGUUGAGACCGGUAAAUCUGAACACGC